GAUGAACGCUGGCGGCGUGCUUAACACAUGCAAGUCGAACGGAAAGGCCCAAGCUUGCUUGGGUACUCGAGUGGCGAACGGGUGAGUAACACGUGGGUGAUCUGCCCUGCACUUCGGGAUAAGCCUGGGAAACUGGGUCUAAUACUGGAUAGGACCACUUCUUGGAUGGUGUGGUGGAAAGUUUUUUCGGUGUGGGAUGAGCUCGCGGCCUAUCAGCUUGUUGGUGGGGUAAUGGCCUACCAAGGCGUCGACGGGUAGCCGGCCUGAGAGGGUGUACGGCCACAUUGGGACUGAGAUACGGCCCAGACUCCUACGGGAGGCAGCAGUGGGGAAUAUUGCACAAUGGGCGCUAGCCUGAUGCAGCGACGCCGCGUGGGGGAUGACGGCCUUCGGGUUGUAAACUCCUUUCGCUAGGGACGAAGCGUUUUUGUGACGGUACCUGGAGAAGAAGCACCGGCUAACUACGUG
This 468-nucleotide ribosomal RNA is filed under the name uncultured bacterium. RNAcentral describes it as "partial 16S ribosomal RNA". It matches the Rfam family "Bacterial small subunit ribosomal RNA", at positions 28 to 507 of the family's 1533-position model. The record is from RNAcentral.